RNAcentral lists this non-coding RNA (32 nucleotides) under Homo sapiens (human). The record is from RNAcentral. Lineage: Eukaryota; Metazoa; Chordata; Mammalia; Primates; Hominidae.
UGAGCCAAAGGUUAUAAACUUGCCUUAAAACU